AUUGAACGCUGGCGGCAUGCCUUACACAUGCAAGUCGAACGGCAGCACGGGAGCAAUCCUGGUGGCGAGUGGCGAACGGGUGAGUAAUAUAUCGGAACGUGCCCAGUCGUGGGGGAUAACGUAGCGAAAGCUACGCUAAUACCGCAUACGAUCUAUGGAUGAAAGCGGGGGAUCGCAAGACCUCGCGCGAUUGGAGCGGCCGAUAUCAGAUUAGGUAGUUGGUGAGGUAAAGGCUCACCAAGCCGACGAUCUGUAGCUGGUCUGAGAGGACGACCAGCCACACUGGGACUGAGACACGGCCCAGACUCCUACGGGAGGCAGCAGUGGGGAAUUUUGGACAAUGGCGCAAGCCUGAUCCAGCAAUGCCGCGUGCAGGAUGAAGGCCU
RNAcentral lists this ribosomal RNA (386 nucleotides) under uncultured bacterium. RNAcentral's name for it is "bacterial SSU rRNA". It matches the Rfam family "Bacterial small subunit ribosomal RNA", at positions 30 to 417 of the family's 1533-position model. The record is from RNAcentral.